AAGAUAGGCUUGCGUCUGAUUAGCUUGUUGGUAAUUUAAAAGAUUUACCAAGGCAACGAUCAGUAGUUGGUCUAAGAGGGUGAUCCCCCACACUGGUACUGAGACACGGACCAGACUCCUACGGGAGGCAGCAGUGAGGAAUAUUGGUCAAUGGAGGCAACUCUGAACCAGCCAUGCCGCGUGCAGGAAGACGGCCCUCUGGGUUGUAAACUGCUUUUAUUUAGGAAGAAACCUUUCUACGUGUAGGAAGCUGACGGUACUAAACGAAUAAGGACCGGCUAACUCCGUGCCAGCAGCCGCGGUAAUACGGAGGGUCCAAGCGUUAUCCGGAAUCAUUGGGUUUAAAGGGUCCGCAGGCGGCUUAUUAAGUCAGUGGUGAAAGCCUACAGCUCAACUGUAGAACUGCCAUUGAUACUGAUAAGCUUGAGUAUGGUCGAAGUGGAUGGAAUGUGUAGUGUAGCGGUGAAAUGCAUAGAUAUUACACAGAACACCGAUAGCGAAGGCAGUUCACUAGGCCGUAACUGACGCUGAGGGACGAAAGCGUGGGUAGCGAACAGGAUUAGAUACCCUGGUAGUCCACGCAGUAAACGAUGAUCACUCGAUAUCGGCGAUAAACUGUCGGUGUCCAAGCGAAAGUGUUAAGUGAUCCACCUGGGGAGUACGGUCGCAAGAUUGAAACUC
Molecule: ribosomal RNA, 681 nt
Filed under: uncultured Bacteroidota bacterium
Lineage: Bacteria; Pseudomonadati; Bacteroidota
Description: bacterial SSU rRNA
Rfam family: Bacterial small subunit ribosomal RNA
Source: RNAcentral